This 1208-nucleotide ribosomal RNA is filed under the name Triticum aestivum (bread wheat). RNAcentral describes it as "partial small subunit ribosomal RNA". The record is from RNAcentral. Lineage: Eukaryota; Viridiplantae; Streptophyta; Magnoliopsida; Poales; Poaceae.
CGCCUUCGUCCUUAACCAUCAGCCGGACUCCCAUCCGUGCACGAAGCUGCAGCGAGCCCGAUCCAAAUCCCGCGAGAUUCGCCCGAUCCCGAAUCCCUCGCUCCAACCCGCGGGCACCAAGAGACUCCUCUCAACCCCCUUGACCGAUUCCCACAAUCACCGCUUGAGGCCCGCCCCGAUUUCGUGCUCGCUGGCCUCGAGAAGAUCCGCCGAAGAGCCAAAACUCCGGCGAGUGAAUCGGCCAUCUCCGCGCCGAACCGAGCUCCUAGAAGAAGCCCCGAAGGCCACAGGCACCAAUCGCUGCCCCUGUUCAUCCGCUCCCGCCGUCGAUGCAGGACGCACCGGGGAACUCCGACGACUCCCCUGAUUCUGUCGUGCCACGCCCAACCUCCCCGUGCACUUCCCUAAGUCAAAGAACCACCGGAGACGCCUUCUCGUCGACGCCUGAGACCACCGCCGUUCAAAUCCGGCGAACCUCCGGUGAGGAAAUUUCCCCUCUGCCCAAAUCCUAUGACGUGGCAUCAUCUCAGCCACCCGUGCUCACUUAAAUCCGAUGGUCUAUGUUAUUUCCUCAACUAAUCGGUAACGACGAAUGUCCUACUGCCACGUGUCCACAAAUUUUGUUUUAAUCUUUUUCGGCUGAGGCUAGUUGUAAUGGGAGUAUCAUAGGUAGUAUCAUGCAUGCCAACUAGGCAAAUUUGAUGAGGUGACAUAGAAUUAAAUGAAGAAAGAGAGGUUUGAGUAUCAUAUCAUGAUACCGUAUCAUAUUAAAUGUUGUGCUACUAUGUAUCAUGCAUCAUAAUAAAUGAAGUCAUCUAUGAUACUUACAUAUGAUACUAUGCACUAGAAUGUACUAUUAUAUAUUAGUAUCGUAUGCAUGACACUAGUAUAUGAUACUUUCCAUUACGACCAGCCUGAAACUGUUUCUGUACUUUUCGAUAGGUCCCUGGAAUUCAAUUCAUCAUAACUUUUCAACUGUAGCUCCGUUUUUGACAAAUCCAAUUCCGUUGGUUUCAUACCGGAGCCCUAUUUUCACUUCACUCAUAAGUUUUAACUUUUGAACAUUUCAAAUUUGAUCAAUUCGGAUUUGAACUCAUACCUUCAUUUGAUCAUAUCAGGAGAACCGUAUAUCCUAUUCAAUUGAUUCUUUUUGCGUCUGAAAACCUGUAUCAAAUACUUGUUGAUCAUGUAAUGUAUACUCCAAAGGC